RNAcentral lists this ribosomal RNA (434 nucleotides) under uncultured Anaerostipes sp. RNAcentral's name for it is "partial 16S ribosomal RNA". It matches the Rfam family "Bacterial small subunit ribosomal RNA", at positions 341 to 792 of the family's 1533-position model. The record is from RNAcentral. Lineage: Bacteria; Bacillati; Bacillota; Clostridia; Lachnospirales; Lachnospiraceae.
ACGGGAGGCAGCAGUGGGGGAUAUUGCACAAUGGGGGAAACCCUGAUGCAGCGACGCCGCGUGAGUGAUGAAGUAUUUCGGUAUGUAAAGCUCUAUCAGCAGGGAAGAUAAUGACGGUACCUGACUAAGAAGUCACGGCUAACUACGUGCCAGCAGCCGCGGUAAUACGUAGGUGGCGAGCGUUAUCCGGAAUUACUGGGUGUAAAGGGUGUGUAGGCGGAGAAGCAAGUCAGGCGUGAAAUUCAGAGGCUCAACCUCUGGACUGCGCUUGAAACUGUUUCCCUUGAGAGUGGGAGAGGUAAACGGAAUUCCUGGUGUAGUAGUGAAAUGCGUAGAUAUCAGGAGGAACACCGGUGGCGAAGGCGGUUUACUGGACCACAACUGACGCUGAGACACGAAAGCGUGGGGAGCAAACAGGAUUAGAUACCCUGGUA